CUUGUCGUGUGGCCUCAGUCCUUCGCCGUCCCUCGCCGUCCUUCGCCAUCGCACGCCACCGCACCCCAUCUCUCGAAAUCUGCAGACAUCUUGAUUUUUCCCACGCUGUCUGUCAGGUCUCCGCCGCCACUCGACGCCAGGGCGCCGGGCCUUGUGGGCUGUGCUGCACCUCGGACGGCUUCGCACCAGCCAGCGCCCUCUCUCUCCUGCAGCACUCUGAUCUGCACCCCCUGAGGGGCUUCCACUGUCCGCGGGGUGAGAAUGCCCCUGGGAGUGUCACAUGACUGCCGCCCCAUGUGUGUGAGAGGCGUCCUCUGGGAGAGCAUGGAUCCUGAGGUCCCAGGAUUGUCAGCUGACCUCUGUCCUGUGUGCCCAGUGGCCCCAGGUGACGUGUCUUCAAGAAGAGGCUGAGCUGCGGUGCUUGUAAGAUGGGUCUGCUGUGUGCAGAGGCUCCAUGGGAUGUGUUGUCUUCAUAGUAGCAGGGCGCUGGACCAUGGGUCCGCAAGGUGGGAUUUUUGGACUGUUGUCUGGAAUAUGUUUCUUUGCAUCCUGCAGAGUCAUGUGCUGUUCCUGGGGCUUGGAUGAUGUAGGGGAAGCAAGGUGAAAGUGGUAUCCCGUGGUUCCACGUUCUGUCCUGCUGUGGGGCUGUCCCUCACAUGCUUUCAGUGGCUGUUGCAGAGGAAGAGCCUCCGGAAAUCUGCGUGGGUAAAGUGAGCUCCCCGGGGGAACCGUCCUCCUCCCUUGAGCGCUGGUGUGUCCAUAGUGUGCUGUGAUCUGGAUUAGCAGUGAGUUUUUCUUUCAGGGUGUGUGUGUAUGAUGUUAGGACCAUAUGCUCCUGACCUUUUCCAACCCAAAAGCGUUUCCAUUUUUUUAAUGCUGGAAGUGUCUUAACUCCUUUUGGGGUCUUAGAAGGACACACGGUGGCCGUGGCUGGGCCUCUGCUCAGCUGGGCUGCUCUCCCUGCCUCAGGCCCUUGACACCAGCCUCCCUCCCUUGCUGGCUCUCUUUCUGUCCUUCCCUGCUCUUGUAUCCAAAAGUGAUCAUGGGUUGCCUGUGUCCCGAUCAUUAACAGUGCAGGGGUAGGAGUGCUGAAAGACAUCUUCCCUGCGUUGGUCCAGCCUUCCCUUUCAAACCCUGGAGCUUUCCCACGCUGCAGCCUUUUUCCAACUAGGCUUUCAGAGCUUGGGCCUUUGUGGGCCCAUGUGAUGUGGUGACUAGACCCACCCCCUGACUUCUGAGGGUUCAUUUUGUCUUUUCAUGUUAGGGAUCCUCCUGCCAGAAACCAGUCUGCAUUUCUCUCUGGGCCCCACGCUGGAAUGAAUUCAGAUAGCAGUGAAGGGCACACGUGAGAACUGCGAAUCACGGGCUUUGCUUCAUGAAAUGUGAAAUCCACAUUGUUUCCACAGGCACCAUCAGUAAUGUCGAACAAAUGGAGAAAGUUGCAGGUGGGGCUAGGAAAGCUGUAUUCCUGUGGAUUACUCUAGCUGGUCAUUUGCCCCGAUUGUGAACUGCUUGAAAGAAAAACGAAACUUCUAAGAUGUUUGUCCUUUCAUGUCCUUUCUGUUGGGAUUUUUUAUUUGGUGUGCGUGAAUGAGGAGCUUCGCCCUGCUUGAAUGGGACCCCUCUCAGUGGUGUCAGCUUGGGGAGGAGGAGAUGGCCCUGGAGACUAAAUACUUGUAUGCUUUCUUACCCUCUUAGGUCUCAGCCUUAGAUCCAAGGACAGUCCAAGGAAGUCCUAAGACCAUGGAGUUGGUGAUCUGGGAUCUGGGUUUGCUGAUAUUUCUCACCGUGAAUCUCUUGGUGGUGUUUGUGGGCACGAGAGGGGCAGAGAAUGGAGAGUGAGGCUACCACAUGAAGCGUCACCAGAGCUGCUCCCUGCUGCCUGCUCAGAGCACCCCGGAUCCACUGUUCAAUCUGCACAAGAUUCGGGGUCCAGACAUGGGAGACUUCAGCUGCCUCAGAGGACCGUGGACAGGGAAGGCCAGCCUCGCAUCCCUCUGUCCAUGCCUGGAAUGACUUUAAUAACCAAGAGUUUUAUUUUUGAAUUUGUAGCUGUCGUUCACUUUUUACCCACCCAUUCAAUAAACCUUACAGAAUUGCUC
Long non-coding RNA from Homo sapiens (human), 2102 nucleotides. Ensembl annotates it as small nucleolar RNA host gene 17. Its record names the gene SNHG17. NCBI's taxonomy places the organism in Eukaryota, Metazoa, Chordata, Mammalia, Primates, Hominidae. The record is from Ensembl.